UUAAGCGACUAAGCGUACACGGUGGAUGCCCUGGCAGUCAGAGGCGAUGAAGGACGUGCUAAUCUGCGAAAAGCGUCGGUAAGGUGAUAUGAACCGUUAUAACCGGCGAUGUCCGAAUGGGGAAACCCAGUGUGAUUCGUCACACUAUCGUUAACUGAAUACAUAGGUUAACGAGGCGAACCGGGGGAACUGAAACAUCUAAGUACCCCGAGGAAAAGAAAUCAACCGAGAUUCCCCCAGUAGCGGCGAGCGAACGGGGAGCAGCCCAGAGUCUGAAUCAGCUUGUGUGUUAGUGGAACGGUCUGGAAAGUCCGACGGUACAGGGUGAUAGUCCCGUACACCAAAAUGCACAGGUUGUGAACUCGAAGAGUAGGGCGGGACACGUGGUAUCCUGUCUGAAUAUGGGGGGACCAUCCUCCAAGGCUAAAUACUCCUGACUGACCGAUAGUGAACCAGUACCGUGAGGGAAAGGCGAAAAGAACCCCGGCGAGGGGAGUGAAAAAGAACCUGAAACCGUGUACGUACAAGCAGUGGGAGCACCUUCGGGUGUGACUGCGUACCUUUUGUAUAAUGGGUCAGCGACUUAUAUUCUGUAGCAAGGUUAACCGUAUAGGGGAGCCGCAGGGAAACCGAGUCUUAACUGGGCGUUAAGUUGCAGGGUAUAGACCCGAAACCCGGUGAUCUAGCCAUGGGCAGGUUGAAGGUUGGGUAACACUAACUGGAGGACCGAACCGACUAAUGUUGAAAAAUUAGCGGAUGACUUGUGGCUGGGGGUGAAAGGCCAAUCAAACCGGGAGAUAGCUGGUUCUCCCCGAAAGCUAUUUAGGUAGCGCCUCGUGAACUCAUCUUCGGGGGUAGAGCACUGUUUCGGCUAGGGGGUCAUCCCGACUUACCAACCCGAUGCAAACUACGAAUACCGAAGAAUGUUAUCACGGGAGACACACGGCGGGUGCUAACGUCCGUCGUGAAGAGGGAAACAACCCAGACCGCCAGCUAAGGUCCCAAAGUCAUGGUUAAGUGGGAAACGAUGUGGGAAGGCACAGACAGCCAGGAUGUUGGCUUAGAAGCAGCCAUCAUUUAAAGAAAGCGUAAUAGCUCACUGGUCGAGUCGGCCUGCGCGGAAGAUGUAACGGGGCUAAACCAUGCACCGAAGCUGCGGCAGCGACACUAUGUGUUGUUGGGUAGGGGAGCGUUCUGUAAGCCUGCGAAGGUGACCUGUGAGGGUUGCUGGAGGUAUCAGAAGUGCGAAUGCUGACAUAAGUAACGAUAAAGCGGGUGAAAAGCCCGCUCGCCGGAAGACCAAGGGUUCCUGUCCAACGUUAAUCGGGGCAGGGUGAGUCGACCCCUAAGGCGAGGCCGAAAGGCGUAGUCGAUGGGAAACAGGUUAAUAUUCCUGUACUUGGUGUUACUGCGAAGGGGGGACGGAGAAGGCUAUGUUAGCCGGGCGACGGUUGUCCCGGUUUAAGCAUGUAGGCUGAUUGUCCAGGCAAAUCCGGAUAAUCAAGGCUGAGGUGUGAUGACGAGGCACUACGGUGCUGAAGUAACAAAUGCCCUGCUUCCAGGAAAAGCCUCUAAGCAUCAGGUAACAUCAAAUCGUACCCCAAACCGACACAGGUGGUCAGGUAGAGAAUACCAAGGCGCUUGAGAGAACUCGGGUGAAGGAACUAGGCAAAAUGGUGCCGUAACUUCGGGAGAAGGCACGCUGGUGUGUAGGUGAAGUCCCUGCGGAUGGAGCUGAGACCAGUCGAAGAUACCAGCUGGCUGCAACUGUUUAUUAAAAACACAGCACUGUGCAAACACGAAAGUGGACGUAUACGGUGUGACGCCUGCCCGGUGCCGGAAGGUUAAUUGAUGGGGUUAUCCGUAAGGAGAAGCUCUUGAUCGAAGCCCCGGUAAACGGCGGCCGUAACUAUAACGGUCCUAAGGUAGCGAAAUUCCUUGUCGGGUAAGUUCCGACCUGCACGAAUGGCGUAAUGAUGGCCAGGCUGUCUCCACCCGAGACUCAGUGAAAUUGAACUCGCUGUGAAGAUGCAGUGUACCCGCGGCAAGACGGAAAGACCCCGUGAACCUUUACUAUAGCUUGACACUGAACAUUGAGCCUUGAUGUGUAGGAUAGGUGGGAGGCUUUGAAGCGUGGACGCCAGUCUGCGUGGAGCCAACCUUGAAAUACCACCCUUUAAUGUUUGAUGUUCUAACGUUGGCCCCUUACCGGGGUUGCGGACAGUGUCUGGUGGGUAGUUUGACUGGGGCGGUCUCCUCCCAAAGCGUAACGGAGGAGCACGAAGGUUAGCUAAUCCUGGUCGGACAUCAGGAGGUUAGUGCAAUGGCAUAAGCUAGCUUGACUGCGAGCGUGACGGCGCGAGCAGGUGCGAAAGCAGGUCAUAGUGAUCCGGUGGUUCUGAAUGGAAGGGCCAUCGCUCAACGGAUAAAAGGUACUCCGGGGAUAACAGGCUGAUACCGCCCAAGAGUUCAUAUCGACGGCGGUGUUUGGCACCUCGAUGUCGGCUCAUCACAUCCUGGGGCUGAAGUAGGUCCCAAGGGUAUGGCUGUUCGCCAUUUAAAGUGGUACGCGAGCUGGGUUUAGAACGUCGUGAGACAGUUCGGUCCCUAUCUGCCGUGGGCGCUGGAGAAUUGAGGGGGGCUGCUCCUAGUACGAGAGGACCGGAGUGGACGCAUCACUGGUGUUCGGGUUGUCAUGCCAAUGGCACUGCCCGGUAGCUAAAUGCGGAAGAGAUAAGUGCUGAAAGCAUCUAAGCACGAAACUUGCCCCGAGAUGAGUUCUCCCUGAGACUUUAAGUCUCCUGAAGGAACGUUGAAGACGACGACGUUGAUAGGCCGGGUGUGUAAGCGCAGCGAUGCGUUGAGCUAACCGGUACUAAUGAACCGUGAGGCUUAACCUU
This 2900-nucleotide ribosomal RNA is filed under the name Klebsiella pneumoniae. RNAcentral's name for it is "bacterial LSU rRNA". It matches the Rfam family "Bacterial large subunit ribosomal RNA". Lineage: Bacteria; Pseudomonadati; Pseudomonadota; Gammaproteobacteria; Enterobacterales; Enterobacteriaceae. The record is from RNAcentral.